AAGUCGUAACAAGGUUUCCGUAGGUGAACCUGCGGAAGGAUCAUUAUCACAAAUGAUUUUAACUCUCUUAAUCCAGAGUUAACCUCUUCUUAAACCAAUCUAACAAAAUGUGAAAUCGUUUUAUAUGUAUAUAUAUUUUUAUAUUCUCGCAAGAGAAUAUAUAUAUAUGUAUAUAUAUUAUUAACCAAUUGAACCUUUUUCUAUAUUGUUAUUUUAAUUAAAUUUAGUACUGAACUAUAUAUAUUGUUAUUCAAUAACGAUAUUAUAAUACAUUACGAAACAAUUUAAAUAAAACAACUCUUAGCAACGGAUAUCUUGGUUCUC
This 324-nucleotide unclassified non-coding RNA is filed under the name fungal sp. RNAcentral's name for it is "partial internal transcribed spacer region". The stretch from base 1 to 46 matches the Rfam family "Eukaryotic small subunit ribosomal RNA", at positions 1786 to 1831 of the family's 1831-position model. The record is from RNAcentral. Lineage: Eukaryota; Fungi.